Molecule: ribosomal RNA, 440 nt
Filed under: uncultured bacterium
Lineage: Bacteria
Description: partial 16S ribosomal RNA
Rfam family: Bacterial small subunit ribosomal RNA
Source: RNAcentral
CCUACGGGAGGCAGCAGUGGGGAAUAUUGCACAAUGGGGGAAACCCUGAUGCAGCGACGCCGCGUGAGUGAAGAAGUAAUUCGUUAUGUAAAGCUCUAUCAGCAGGGAAGUAAAUGACGGUACGUGAGUAAGAAGCUCCGGCUAACUACGUGCCAGCAGCCGCGGUAAUACGUAGGGGGCAAGCGUAAUCCGGAUUAACUGGGUGUAAAGGGAGCGUAGACGGCCGUGCAAGUCUGGAGUGAAAGGCGGGGGCUCAACCCCCGGACUGCUCUGGAAACUGUACGGCUGGAGUGCAGGAGAGGUAAGUGGAAUUCCUAGUGUAGCGGUGAAAUGCGUAGAUAUUAGGAGGAACACCAGUGGCGAAGGCGGCUUACUGGACUGUAACUGACGUUGAGGCUCGAAAGCGUGGGGAGCAAACAGGAUUAGAUACCCUGGUAGUC